This 253-nucleotide ribosomal RNA is filed under the name uncultured bacterium. Its description in RNAcentral is "partial 16S ribosomal RNA". It matches the Rfam family "Bacterial small subunit ribosomal RNA", at positions 524 to 776 of the family's 1533-position model. The record is from RNAcentral.
GACGAACCGUCCUAACGUUGUUCGGAAUCACUGGGCUUAAAGGGCGCGUAGGCGGCCUUUCGAGUCGGGGGUGAAAUCCCACGGCCCAACCGUGGAAGUGCCUCCGAUACUGGAAGGCUCGAGGGGGGUAGGGGCAGGUGGAACUUCCGGUGGAGCGGUGAAAUGCGUUGAUAUCGGAAGGAACGCCGGUGGCGAAAGCGACCUGCUGGACCUCUUCUGACGCUGAGGCGCGAAAGCCAGGGGAGCGAACGGG